This 453-nucleotide ribosomal RNA is filed under the name uncultured Streptococcus sp. RNAcentral's name for it is "bacterial SSU rRNA". It matches the Rfam family "Bacterial small subunit ribosomal RNA", at positions 929 to 1382 of the family's 1533-position model. Lineage: Bacteria; Bacillati; Bacillota; Bacilli; Lactobacillales; Streptococcaceae. The record is from RNAcentral.
GCGGUGGAGCAUGUGGUUUAAUUCGAAGCAACGCGAAGUAACCUUACCAGGUCUUGACAUCCCGAUGCUAUUUCUAGAGAUAGAAAGUUACUUCGGUACAUCGGUGACAGGUGGUGCAUGGUUGUCGUCAGCUCGUGUCGUGAGAUGUUGGGUUAAGUCCCGCAACGAGCGCAACCCCUAUUGUUAGUUGCCAUCAUUCAGUUGGGCACUCUAGCGAGACUGCCGGUAAUAAACCGGAGGAAGGUGGGGAUGACGUCAAAUCAUCAUGCCCCUUAUGACCUGGGCUACACACGUGCUACAAUGGUUGGUACAACGAGUUGCGAGUCGGUGACGGCGAGCUAAUCUCUUAAAGCCAAUCUCAGUUCGGAUUGUAGGCUGCAACUCGCCUACAUGAAGUCGGAAUCGCUAGUAAUCGCGGAUCAGCACGCCGCGGUGAAUACGUUCCCGGGCCUU